RNA transcript from Oreochromis niloticus (Nile tilapia), 3248 nucleotides. It is a transcript of the gene named neuromedin-U receptor 1, with no coding region annotated. The record is from RefSeq and is a predicted model, not a curated record. Lineage: Eukaryota; Metazoa; Chordata; Actinopteri; Cichliformes; Cichlidae. The transcript is spliced from 6 exons.
UUUCGGAGUCCUAAUGGGCUGAACAUUGGCAGUGUGUUGGUAGACCGUGGGGUGCUGCAGACUGCUCAUCUUCCUGCAGAGAGCGCCUGUUGCCAGAUGGAGGCAGUGCCAAAGAUGUGCACCUCGCCAGUUGCUGCCGAUUCUACUAAUGAAAAAGAGUGUUUGUUUUAUCUUUGAUUUGAAAUGAGUGGAAAUGGGAGCACAUCCACACACACACAUAAAUACCACACAUACCUGUACUCAGCUCGCAGGCUUUAGGGUCAAAGCAAUCUCACCUUUAAUUUUCUCACCGGUGCAAUAUCUGUGAAAGCAAUAUAAUGCAGGAUCACAAGGCAGGUAGUGUCUGUGCAGGCUAGGUUCAUGAAAGUGUGUAUCACGGUGUCGAGAGUAAGAUGAGAAGAAAAGAUGAAAACAAGUUGAAUUGGAGGAGAAAGAUAAAGCAUGUAGUGAUGGAGGACGCGAGAAGAUACUCCAGGGAUAAAGAGAGAUGGAGAGAGAGCGAGCGAGCGAGAAGGAGACAGAGAGAGAGAGAGAGAGAGAGAGCAAGAGGUGGGCUGAACACCAGCCAUCAAAUACGGGAAGCCGAGCCAGUUGUGACGCACUAAGGCACCAAGGCGGUCAAGAUAAAGUGUCAGAAAAAAGUCCAGGAUGCAGAGAAACAUGACAAUCACCCAUCUUCCCUCAUUUCUUCAGCUCUUGCGAAUCCCGUAGAUAAGAAGAGUAUAAAGACCACAAACUGCAGGUUUAUAUUAGUUGAGGAACCUGCUGUCCAGUCACCACGAUGCCGUUACCUAACUGCACCUUCAACUCACUUGCAGCCAUUUUAACUGGUGACAGAGAACUUGGUGACUUAGGAUGCCCCGAUUCUGCUGUGGUGUGUGGAAUGAAUAUCUCCUGGGUGUUGGCGAAUGCCACUCAAGAAGAUCUGGAAGAAAUGCUUUGCUUGACUGAGGACAAGUACCUGUCCAAAAUUCUGGGGGAAUCAAAAUCCCCCAUGUUUCUCCCUGUCUGUGUCACUUACCUCACCAUCUUCAUCGUGGGUGUCCUGGGCAAUUCCCUGACCUGUGCGGUCAUUUUACGCUACAGAGUGAUGCAAACGCCAACCAAUUACUACUUGCUGAGCCUGGCUGCGUCCGACCUGCUGGUGCUGCUUCUGGGGAUGCCGUUAGAGAUCUACGAGAUGUGGCAGAACUACCCCUUCCUGCUCGGAGAAGGGGGAUGCUAUUUCAAAACCUUCCUAUUUGAAACUGUCUGCUUUGCUUCCAUCCUCAAUGUCACUGCGCUCAGCGUGGAGCGCUACGUGGCGGUGGUGCACCCCCUCAAAGUCAAGCAUUUGACCACACGUGCUCACGUUAAGAGGGUCAUCCUCAUGUUGUGGGGGCUGUCGAUGCUGUGCGCUCUGCCAAACACCAGUCUGCAUGGGAUCGAAGUGCUGCCGCCACACUUUGGUCGACAGUUUCCCCGAUCUGCUAUCUGCCAUCUGGUCAAACCCAUCUGGAUGUACAACUUAAUCAUCCUGAUCUCCACGCUGGUCUUCUUCCUGCUCCCCAUGCUGAUCAUUAGCGUUCUCUACCUGCUCAUUGGCUUGAGGCUGCGCAGGGAGAGGGUGAUGACCACGGUGGAUACUAACUGUGGCUUCGGUUCUGAAAGUAUCUCCAGCUCCCACAAGCAGAGGCUGAGCAAACGAAAUGUGCAAGUAACCAAAAUGCUAUGUGUGCUGGUGGUUGUCUUUGGCCUGUGUUGGGCUCCCUUUCACAUCGAUCGCUUGAUGUGGAGCUACAUCAACAUAUCAUACGAGCAGCACCGCAGGAUCUUCGAGCAUGUCCACGUCAUCUCUGGAGUCCUCUUCUACCUGAGCUCCGCCGUCAACCCCAUCCUCUACAACCUCAUGUCCACCAGGUUCAGAGAAAUGUUUAGCCACAUUACCUGCCACUCUAACAGCUGGCGAGGACACUCAAGGAGCUUCCAGAUGACCCAACGCAGCACUCUACGUGAAAAAACACCCCAAAGUAGCAAAACGACUUCUGGAGCCUUUUGAGCCUUUAGGAGACAAAGGAAGUAAAGGAAAAACUGAAUAAACAAAUGGGAAAAAAGAGAGUUCUGCACCAAGCACCUCUAACAUUAUGGAAAACGAUGUUCCUGCAUUCAUAUAGAUCUCGAACACAACCAGAAUCUGUGUCUUAGCAGCUGAUCUGACUCACAAUAAACACAAUUCACAGGUUAUUGCCCACAAAACUACAAAUAUUACACUAAAAUCUGACAAAUACUGUAGGGGGAGCAGCAGGUCUUGUGAACUGUGGAUGGACAGAAACAGACGGUCCUUCAGCCGAAUGAGCUAAAAAAUGGUUCCUGAGGCUCCUCACCUUAAGAGAAAACAAGCGUAUUUCCAUCCUGCAUGCAUUUACUGUGUAAUCAUUUUUAUCAAGUCCCAGAGUGUAAAAACAACAAUAACUCAAAUUACAUUCAGAGUGAAGACCAACAAGGCCACACACUGAGGUUACUGCACUGCCACAUAGAUGAUGCAGCAGCAUUUUUACGCACGGGCAACGCAUCACAUCAACUGCAUCAAAAGUAAACGUUUUCUAUUGGAAAUGGAGUGUGCACCAUUAAAACAGACCUGAUUUUGAAUAUCAGUGCUGCUUGUAAGAUGUGUCAGCGGGCCCACUCAGAAAGAAAAGAUCACACCGAGUCUUGUCUUCUUUGGAUUCCUGCAGUGCAGCCAGCCCCGGAAGGCAAAGGUCUUCUGUGUAUACAUCGCAGUAAAAGUGUCGGGGCAAACAAUUCAAGUAACAAGGCGUGUUGAGAGCCACGAGAACCUUCCGCCAGGAUGUCUCAUCUCAACUUUAGGUGACGCACAGCGCGGGGGAAAAAACUCAUUUGUAUACAUGGAGAAGAUGAUUAUGAGGGGUAGAAGCUAGGAGGAAAGAUGAUGUCACCGGGUCAAUAAUAUGGAACAAAGAAUUAAUGAAUGAUUAGAUGAAGCAGGAUGUGAAAGCAGACAAAGAUGAGCCAUCUGUUCAAUACUGACAAAUCACUUUGGAAUGAAACAGCGUUAUCAGUGUGCCACACCAGCACAGAUGAAGGGCCCUCUACCCACAGCUUCCAUCAACAUAACAAAAUGCACUGUUUACGCACUGCCUAUGCAAAUUGGCCCAUUAAAAAAAGGGUGCAUCACAGCGUCGCCCGAAUAAUGACAGACACUCAAGACCGGGGUUAUGAUUGACUCCUGUGGGACUUUAAUGUGACAC